AGAGUUUGAUCAUGGCUCAGGAUGAACGCUAGCUACAGGCUUAACACAUGCAAGUCGAGGGGCAUCAGUUUGGUUUGCUUGCAAACCAAAGCUGGCGACCGGCGCACGGGUGAGUAACACGUAUCCAACCUGCCUCAUACUCGGGGAUAGCCUUUCGAAAGAAAGAUUAAUAUCCGAUAGCAUAUAUUUCCCGCAUGGGUUUUAUAUUAAAGAAAUUCGGUAUGAGAUGGGGACGCGUUCCAUUAGUUUGUUGGCGGGGUAACGGCCCACCAAGACUACGAUGGAUAGGGGUUCUGAGAGGAAGGUCCCCCCANAUUGGAACUGAGACACGGUCCAAACUCCUACGGGAGGCA
This 353-nucleotide ribosomal RNA is filed under the name uncultured bacterium. Its description in RNAcentral is "bacterial SSU rRNA". It matches the Rfam family "Bacterial small subunit ribosomal RNA", at positions 8 to 350 of the family's 1533-position model. The record is from RNAcentral.